This 1212-nucleotide long non-coding RNA is filed under the name Gossypium barbadense (sea-island cotton). RNAcentral's name for it is "long non-coding RNA (GBAR_LNC017655)". The record is from RNAcentral. Lineage: Eukaryota; Viridiplantae; Streptophyta; Magnoliopsida; Malvales; Malvaceae.
UUCUUGCCUCUGUUUUCUUUUUCCUUUUUUAGUUUCAAAAUCAUUCCCUUUUUUUCAAACACCGACCCUUGGGUUUCUUAGCCUCCAGUGCACCGCCGCCGCAGCCAUGAAGACCGGUGGCCGACGACGGAGGAAAAGAGGUGAAAGACCUCGGCCUUAGAAUACCCCGAGGGCUGAACCCUUCAACCUUAAACAAGAAAAGAGGAAGAUUCUCAGCACCCUCUAGAUCCGGCGGUCGCAAAGGAGGAGAACCCUCCGUGAGCCGGAUCCCGGCGCUUCCUCGGUAAGUCCCCUCUCCCCUUUUUAUUUUCACGUUUUCUUUAUAAAAAUUUCGUAAAAAAAUGCGUAGAUAAAUAAAUGAAAUAAAUAAAUGAUAGAUGAUAAGAAACGGAAAUCAGAAAAACUAAAGAAAACAAUCAGAUUUCUAUCAACCUUUUAGAAUCUCAGUUCUGUAUUUCUUGAUUCACUGAUGUGUGUUCGUAAAAAAAACAACGGUGAGAUUCGGGCUUUUAUAGCCGAAUCAAAAUGAUUUUUUCUUCUUUAUUAUCUGUUAACUAUUAUUAUUGCUCGCGUGCUUCCUUUUUGCCAUUAUAUUUAAUUUUCGCAGGUGUCAGACGCGUGGAUGACCGGUGGUAGGCGAGCCUUGGGCGGUGGCGGCGUGUGAGGAGCUGGAGCGGCGUACCUGGCAGAGGUGUGCAUGCGGCUAGGGCUAGGUUUUUUUUUUUGCUGAAACAAAUUUUAAUUUACUGGGCUUUGGGCUGUAAUUUUUGAGUUAUUUUCAUUUGUUUUGGGUCUUUAGGCCUAGGUCAAAAUUGACCUGUUACAAUUAACAUAAAUAUGGGAUUUUCAAAUUGAUUUGAUUAUUCUAAUUUAAGUAAUUUGCGGGCAUUGGCAAAAUAUGUAAACCAAGCCCUUCAUAUGAACUCAAUAUGGUUUUCAUCGUUGGUUGAUAGUUUCAUUUCGUGACGUGAUAGUCGACAAUCGAGCUGAGGUUUCUUCUUUGCUUUAACAUAUAGACGGGGAGGCUUAUUUUAAGUAAUGAGAGUCCUUUUUUCUGUCAUAGAAUGAUAGAUUGUUACCUGCCUUCGAGGCUGUCUUGUUAUGGGCUUAGCUCCUCAACUACUUUCUCCACUUGUUUGUAAUUGGGUUUGUGGUCUUUAUGACCUUUGUUGUAAUCCUAUCUUUCUGUAGUAUGAAUAUUUGAUCUUUGAC